GACGAACGCUGGCGGCGUGCUUAACACAUGCAAGUCGAACGGUGAAGCGCCUUCCUUUUUGGUGGGUGUGGAUGAGUGGCGAACGGGUGAGUAACACGUGAGUAACCUGCCCCCUUCUUCUGGAUAACCGCAUGAAAGUGUGGCUAAUACGGGAUAUUCUGGGUCUGUCGCAUGAUGGGUCUGGGAAAGAUAUUGUUUCGGUGGGGGAUGGGCUCGCGGCCUAUCAGCUUGUUGGUGGGGUGAUGGCCUACCAAGGCGGUGACGGGUAGCCGGCCUGAGAGGGUGGACGGUCACACUGGGACUGAGACACGGCCCAGACUCCUACGGGAGGCAGCAGUGGGGAAUAUUGCACAAUGGGCGCAAGCCUGAUGCAGCGACGCCGCGUGAGGGAUGGAGGCCUUCGGGUUGUGAACCUCUUUCGCCAGUGAAGCAGGCCUGCCUCGUUUGUGGGUGGGUUGACGGUAGCUGCAUAAGAAGCGCCGGCUAACUACGUG
Molecule: ribosomal RNA, 494 nt
Filed under: uncultured bacterium
Lineage: Bacteria
Description: partial 16S ribosomal RNA
Rfam family: Bacterial small subunit ribosomal RNA
Source: RNAcentral